This is an RNA transcript of Xenopus tropicalis (tropical clawed frog), 9822 nucleotides long. It is a transcript of the gene named pleckstrin homology domain containing O1, with no coding region annotated. The transcript is spliced from 7 exons. Lineage: Eukaryota; Metazoa; Chordata; Amphibia; Anura; Pipidae. The record is from RefSeq and is a predicted model, not a curated record.
ACUCCAGCCCCCCUUGCCUGCCUUCCAGCUUGGGGGGAAUAAAUGGGAAACAAAGGAGUAACCCUGACGUGUUGUAAUGUCCUCUCUAUUCUGAUCUCACAUCACACUCACAGUGACUCUCCAUAGAUGGAGCUACUGAACAGAGAAAGAGAGAGGGCAGAGGCAAGGAGGGGGGGUAGGCUGUGUGUGAGUGUGUGAGUGUGUGGCUGUUGCUGCUGAGUGUGGGGACAUGACUGUGUGUGAGCUAAAGAGGCUUGGCUGGACUUAGUGAAACCAGAUCUUGUGUGUCUGAUCUGCAGAACAGAAGGCUGGAGAGGGAGCAGUGAGCGCAGACGGCACAUCCACUGCUGCACCCAGGCAGGCACCCAGCAGCACCCUCCCAUCCUCCCCUUGCACACUCUGGCCUCCAUAGCCUCAGCCUCAGCCCUGGCAGCAUGAAGAAGAACCUUUCUGCAAAGAGGGGACCUUUAGAUGGGAACCAUGCCCCCUGCCAGCCAGAAAAAGUGGGAUGGAUUCGGAAAUACUGCGGGAAGGGCAUCUUCAGGGAGAUCUGGAAGAACCGUUACGUGGCUAUACGGGGGGAUCAGCUCUACAUAUCGGAGAAAGAGGUGAAAGAUGAAAAAAAUGGGCAUGAAGUCUUUGAUCUGAGCGACUACGAGAAAUGCGAGGAACUGCGGAAAUCACGAAGUCGGUCAAAAAAGAACCACAGCAGGUUCUCCCUUGUACGCUCCAAACAGCCAGGGAACACUGCACCGAACCUGAUCUUUCUCGCAGUCAGCCCUGAGGAGAAGGAAUCUUGGAUCAAUGCCCUGAACUCUGCAAUCACACGAGCCAAGAACCGCAUCUUAGAUGAGGUCACAGUGGAAGAGGAGAGUUAUCUCGCUCACCCAACUCGCGACAGAGCAAAAAUCCAGCACACCAGGCGCCCCCCUACAAGAGGUCACCUUAUGGCAGUGGCAUCUACCUCAACGUCAGAUGGAAUGCUAACCUUGGAUCUAAUACAGGAAGAAGAUGCCUCCCCAGAAGAUCAAGGCAGCUGUGAUAAAAGUUUCAGGGUUGACCUAGACAAGUCUGUGGCCCACUUGGCUUCUAAACGUCGCAGAUCGGACUCUGAGAAUUUUAAGUGCCCAGAAAAGGGCAGGUCAGAAAACCAGCAAGGGAGGGAUCAGGUGUUCUGGGAUAAGUUGGGGCCACACCAUGACUCCUUUGGAAAGGGCACAACCUACACGCCUCAGGUCCCCAAAAAGCUAUCCUAUUCUGAGAAGAACAAAUGUGCCUCUAUGGAGGAGAUCUUAUCAAGAUCAGACUCUUCAGGUCAACGCCCAGUGUCCAAAAAGCCUCCUGAAUCAGAGAGACUAUGCCAGUUACAGGAAUUGAUAACAGAGAAGAUUGAUAAAACUCAGGAACUGCUUACAGAAGUGAAGGACUGUGGAGAAGGCAGGAAAAAGGGAAAGGAAACUUCUUGCAAGGCAGACUCUGAAAAUGUCCUUCAGGAAGCAGAGAGGCUUCUAGGAGAGGCCUCCUCCAACUGGAGACAGGCCAGAAAGGUCUUACAGGAAAUUAAGGAACUGAGAGACCUAUACAGACAAGCAGACCAGCAGUCCCCAGAUCCUAAGCAGAAACUGGCCAGUCAUUACAGGAAAAGUCUAAUGUGAGGGACACAAGCACUCUUUAUACCUUCAAGCUCCCAAAAAAAAAGGAAUAUUUCCUGGUUGAAACCUGCUUCUGGCUUCAUUACGCAAAACUAAGGAUCAUAAAGUCCAAAUGGAAGAAGAUGGGCUGUCUUUGGAACCCUUGGCUUUGCACUUUAUUUUUCUCCAGGGGUAGCUGCAGAAGCUGCGAUGUGCAGCAGGCUAACCAUAUAUGCAGGAACCCCUGUAGGAGAGCUUUGGAUCUACUAACACGCGCACGGUUGCCCCUCCAGGAUCACAAUCCUUAAGGUCUGCGGUGUUAAAAGUGGGGUGAAAAAUGCCAGACCAGCUGGAUUAGGCAUGUGGGCCGAUGUAGUCUAUGUAGUAUGUGUAAUCCAAUACAAAGCAUACAAACCCAUUAUAAUGUUACCUAUGUUUACAUGGGCCUGCUCUUAUUUCAUGUAUUCUUCAGCGGGAAUGUACUAAAGGGUUCACUAGAAAGUCUGAAAAUAAAAUAUAUUGCCUCCAAUUACCUCUAUCAGCCAUGGUAACGAAGCAGCAGGGAAAUAGCUGUCAACUUGUAUAGCCUGCCCACAUCUUUCUGUGUCAGAACACAAUUCCACUCAGGUUGACCAACGCGCAGAAGGCCGACAUGACUGUCCUUUGGGUAAAGCAUUUCCCUGCGCUUUCGGUUGGUUGAUUGGGCAACUAGGGGAGCAUUGCAUAAUUGAAACUGUUACAUUUCGGACUUACACAAGUCGUAGCAUUAACAAAUAUUGAGAAUGACUAUGCACUUUUCUAGCUGGUCCAACCUCUCCAUCCCCCACUUUCCUCUCUUUAAAUACCUGGGCUCUGCUUUAAUCAUAACACCCCAGAAUCAGUUCUGGUGUCAUUCAAAAUGACCUUUCGGAGUUUAGGAGUAGCAGCAUUGUGGUAGGAGGGUCUUCCUUCUGCAUGGGGUACAUUCUGCAUCUGCUCCUCACUUGCUGGGAAGCCUCAAUACCAAAUGAAGGUUGCGUUGUGUUCCUAUCUUAAUGAGAUGGACAGUGUAGCACGUUAUAAAGGCAAACUAGGGUACUCCUUCAGCCAUAUUAGCUGGGCAACAGGGGCCUCUUCUACAAGGAAGUAGAGCCUCCAUAUUUUCUAAACUAAUUACUUGUAUGGAAAGCUUUGCAGUCAUUGCCAGUGUCGCUUAUAAGCUAAUGCUCUUCCAAACCUGAAAUCGUCUAUGCGCUGAUGUUCUUCCCAAACCAAAUGGAGAUAGUUGUCUCUCUCAACAUAUAACUCCAACCAUGACCUAUACUUAGAUAUGUCAUAAAAUGGGGUAAAGCAUUGACCUAUUGUAAUCACAAUCAAACAUCUAUAUUUCCUUCAUCUCGUCUGUGCAAUUUAUUUUCAGUGUAAGAGCAAGGGGCUUAGUUUACGUUCCUUGAGUUGUCAGUAACCUACAUCUCAUCAUGGUAGACACCACUUCCUUUGUGUUUAGGGUAGAGUUGCCUGUUGGCAGCAAGUUUCUACCAUGAGGGGUAAAUCUAGUGUUUCACUAGUAAAGGAAUGCUCCAUAAGAGAUACAUCUGAGUUAACUGCAUACUGACCUUCAACCAGACAUGUACAUUCCUUCAUAUUUAUGUCUGUAAUACACAUAAAUCAUGUUAUUCUGAUAUUAACCAUGGUUUGCUCAUGUGUUUGUCUUCUUUGAAACCCCAAUUCCCACAUUAGGGACUCCCACUUUUUUAUGUGUCCAUUGUAACAUAACCAACCUACAAGAAAGAGACGUGGAACUGACUUCAUAGCAUUCUUAAACCACUGAGAUGUCCAUAAUGAAUGGAAAGUUAUGGUGCCUUUUGUAGAACAUCAUUGUGUUCCUUCAAAGACUGAGAUUAAGGUGUUGUGCCAUAGUUUUAGUUUUACACUUAGGAAGAGCCACCAUAAACCAUUAAAAAGGGAGUCCAGUGGCCUUCCUCAGGCUCGUGAUAAGCAAAACAACAAUGAAGUCAGGCUUUUGGCCUUCUUCAAUGACUUCUUCUGGGACUUCUAGACAGCAUCCAGUCAUGACCUGCCUUGGGUGGUUUCUCUUGCUGCUGACUGGUUUAAGUUUUUUACCAUAAACUAUGUAGGUUGCUAGGUUUUAUUAUGAAGUUUGAAGACUCUGAGCCAUAGGUGACCAUUUGUAGUGUUGGCGGAUCAGAGGCUGAUUCAUAUUUUCAAGAAGGUAGCUGCAACCUUGUUCAUUUCCUGAAGGUAACAUCUGGACUGUUGUAUGCUUGUGGCCAUCUUAGCCCACUAUCCUUAAAUAGUGAUGUAUCAGAAUCCUGUAUCGCUAUUCAUGUAGGCAAGUGAGGGAUAGUGAGUACCUUGGAGACCAGAGUAGGAUCGGGAAAUGAGAUUAAAGGGAACAUAUACCCAUCUGUAAGCAGAUCAAAGAAACCCAACAUCCUUCAUCUUUUGAUGUGUGCAAUUAUACUGUUCUGAGCAACCCUUAAUAAGACAUGUACCACUUCUGUUUGUUUAAGAAAAGGGGGGGAGGGUUUCCAUUUCAUUUAAGUGGUAUUUUAUCAAACAAAGCGGCCGAUGCUUUUUCUCACUUCCUGCACUCAAGCUGUGUGUGUGUAAACGUUUCACUUUUUAUUUAGCCGUGCCUCAUGCAUAUUUAAGCGAGUGUUUUAGAAAGAGCGUAUCACUUUGCUGUGGAAAACAACUCGUGAAUAGCUCGGGGAAGGAAAAUAACCCCCUCCUUUUGGCCGGCUUUGCUAACAGCUGGAUAUGAUAUUGAUGGGGACAGUGAUCAAGAAAGGUGCUAUGGAAACAUGGCGGGGAAUGGUUGUCACACGCGAGGCUGGCAUCUGAUAACUCUAGGAAAUUAUUUUUCCAACCUGUUUAUAUUUAUAACUGGCAGUUGGGUGAGGCAAGCCCAUUCUUCAUUACCUUCAUGAGUCCUUUACAUGGUUCCCUAUACGUAGGCAGUGAUCCCCAACCAGUGGCUCAAGAGGAACAUGUUGCUCCCCAACCCCUCGGAUGUUGCUCCCAGUGGCCUCAAAGUAGGUGCCCAUUUUUGAAUUUUGGAGGCAAGUUUUGGAGAGAUAAAAACCAUGUGUUCUGCCAAACUUCCUGUAGCCUUCCAUUCCACAGUGGGAUACCAAAUAGCCAAUUACAGUCCUUACUGGUCACCCCCUAGGAACUUUUUUCAUGCUUGCAUUGUUCCUCAACUUUUUUUUAUAUUUAAAUGUUGCUCAUGGGUACCCCUGUCAUUAGAUGUUGCUCUGGUUACAUAGUAAGCUUGGUGGGUUGGUGAGCUUUAGACAAAACAAAGCCAUCCUUGUAGUAAUGUGGCUUAUUUUAUCAUUACAACAUUAGUAUUUUUAUAUUAGAGGCCUUCCAAGGGGAAUAGGGGUAUAUGGAAACUGAGCAUUAGAUAGAGCAGCACCAUUAUCAUAUUGGCUAGUAAUGUGGCACAUUGUCAUGUCACUAUUGGCUCGUCAUCAUCAAUUCAACACUAGUUGGUUAUUUUAAGAGGAAUUACGUGUGUUCCAUGAAAAAGUGAGCAUCCAGGGCUGCGGAGUACGUAAAUACUUUGACUAUGGCUCCUCCGUUUAUGGUUCCUCCGACUCCAGGUACCCAAAAUUGCUUCUAACUUUGACUCCACUAAUCUGACACCAUAGCCCUGGCAGGACUGUGGAGUCUGUACAUAAAUCCCUUGACUCCUUAGUUUAUGUUAUCUUCGACUCCAGGUACCCAAAAUUGCUUUGACUUCUUAGUUUAUGGUUCCUCUGACUCCAGGUACCCAAAAUUGCUUUGACUUCUUAGUUUAUGGUUCCUCUGACUCCAGUUACCCCAAAUUGCUUUGACUUCUUUGUUUAUGGUUCCUCUGACUCCAGGUACCCCAAAUUGCUUUGACUUCUUUGUUUAUGGUUCCUCCGACUCCAGGUAUCCAAAAUUGCUUUGACUUCUUAGUUUAUGGUUCCUCCGACUCCAGGUACCCAAAAUUGCUUUGACUUCUUAGUUUAUGGUUCCUCCGACUCCAGCUGCCCAAAAUUGCUUUGACAUCUUUGUUUAUGGUUCCUCCGACUCCUGGUACCCAAAAUUGCUUUGACUUCUUUGUUUAUGGUUCCUCUGACUCCAGGUACCCAAAAUUGCUUUGACUCCUUUGUUUAUGGUUCCUCCAACUCCAGGUACCCAAAAUUGCUUUGACUCCUUUGUUUAUGGUUCCUCCGACUCCAGGUACCCAAAACUGCUUCUGGCUCCAUGACUCUGACUCCGCAGCCCUGGUGCCAUCAGUUGUAUCGUUUUGUAAUGUGGCAGUCAUCAGUGUCUCCAUUGGCUUAUUUUAUCAUUUCAACAUUAGUAUUUGUUCAUUAGAGGGCUUCCAUAGGAUGUAGGGGUACAUGGAAACUGUGAGCAUUACACAGAGCAGCGCCAUGAUCAUAUUGUCUAGUAAUGUGCUGUCGCCAUUGACUCGUCAUCAUUUCAACAUUGGUUGGUUUAUAUGAGAGGAAUUCCAUGUUCCUGGAAAAAGUGAGCAUUAUACAGGGCAGUGUUGUUGUAUUGUCGAGUUAUGGAACGUACUUCUAUGACAUCAUUAGCUCAUUGUUAUUUAAAGAUGAUUUUGAUUAUAUCAGAUGAAUUUGGUGGAAUUUCUGGAAAAAAUGAGCAUUAUGGAGAGCAGCGCUGUUAGUGUAUUAUUUAGCAUUGUGGCACACUCCGAUAUAUAGACAUAACCGUCUUAUCUACAUUUGAUUUUUGGCAUGGGUUUGUUUAUACCAGAGGAGUCCCAUGGUGUAUAGGGGUACAGAUAAAAGAACUGAUUUUUAUAUAAAUUCCGUAACUCGCUGCCUUCUCUGCAUGCCGGGCAAGAUGUUUGCUGCAGUCAGAUUCCUUAGUUCCAGUAUUCGUACAUUGCAGGGCCCGAUGCGUCGGUUGCGACGCGGCUGUUAUUGGGUUAAUGUUACCAUAGCAAUGCAGCCAGAUUGGAUCUACAGAAGGCAGGAGAACAAACGGUAUCAUAUCAAGGCUGCUCGCAAAAUCAACAAUUUAACGUACUAAUAAUAUUAAACCUUUUAAUAUCUCAUCCAGAUGGGGGACAGCUCAUCACUGGCUUCAUAGUAUGUGUGUUAGAGGUGUGAUAUUGUGUACUUGGGCCUUUUUCUUGCCCAAACAUCCCCAGUUGACCCUGCCAAUCCUGAUGGUUUCGAAAAUGCUGGGUUUUUAAGCCACGCCCACUCCAAAGUAAGCCACGCCUGUUUUCCAAUCCUCAGAUCAGAACUGUCCUUCCCAAACAGUCACUGGGGAGUUAUUCUGUAGGGAAAGGCCCUCUUCUUUGUAUUCCCCCCUUAUAAGGACAGUCCUGCCUAUGCCCCGCCCAUAUCCCCGCCCACCCCAUGCAUUUACCCACCCAGUCUGACCAUUUACACGCCCCUGUGUGACAUCACUUCCUACUCCCUUACCUGAUGGCUGGUAUUACAUCACAAAAAAGGUGGCAACCCUAUUCCCACAAGCAUUGUUUUUACCUGAUAUUCCCUGUGCGUGAUAUUCUAUCAUAGGGGAACACAGUAAAAAGAACUGUAGGUCUGUAUUUCCUAUUACACUGUACUGUAUUCAGCGCUUGCCUGAGUGAGUACCAUCCUGAUCACAUAGGAAAUACAGGCCUCUGUGUGUUAGUGCUCUGUGCUGCUGCUGAGCUGCACUGAGCUUUAACACCCCCGUCAAACAGAAUGGUGUUCAGUUGCUCACUGUAGGCCAACCCAUUCUGACCGACUGAAAGACAGGAAAGAACUAAAAGUACACAAAAUAUUUCUCCAAAGUGACCAAAGUUUGUUCCGAGGUCACAAAACCACGGACUCAACGCAGUUAUAUAAAGAAGGUGUGUGUGUGAAACGCAAAGGCCCUCGACUACUUUUCAGUUGUAAAAAUAAAGUAGUGAGUGGGACACAUGCGUAGGUCACAUGAUCGCGCUUGGGGGGGGCACAAAUAAUCCCACCGAGACCCAGCUUCCUGUGUCAGUUACAGGCGGUGACUGGAUGAGGAAAUACAGCAGCUACUGCACUUUCAUAUAUAGAUAUAUACAUAGAUAUGUGGUGCAACAAAAACUGCGCCUAUGAUGGCCACUAGGGGUGCUGUUAUUCUUUAUGCUGAAUCUUUACACUUAUGGGGAGGAAAGGUUCAAUAGCCGAGACCAUUGUUACUUUAUUUUGCAUUAUAAUUACAAAGUACAACAUUAUGUUCCCUGUGUAUUUGCCAUAAUACCCUCGACGUAGGCAAAUAAGCCUCUGUAUGUCCUGUGUGCAGCGUGGGCAGACUUUUAUACCCCUUUGCACCCCUCAAAGUGCUGCAUGUAGGACCUUGAGGAGUCUGAGUGUUCUUGGCCAUACACUGGGGGCUCAUUUAUAAACACUGGGCAAAUUAGCACCUGGGCAGUUACCCAUGGCGACCAGAUGUUUGCUUUAAUUGUCCUACCUGCAACAGGUUUAGAAAGGCUAAUUGCUGACUGGUUGCUAGGGGUUACUGCCCAAGUGCAACUUUGCCCCUCUGACUUGGCUUGUGUGCAAGGGAUAUUGCGUUGGAGGCUAUGAGCGAGUUGUGGUUGCCUCGUGGGACUGAGAUUGGACUGUUUGACCAUGAAAUGUAGCAGAGGUAAAAGUGGUUGUUUUAUCAAUUUUUGCCUUCCCAGCCCAGCUCAGUGCCCACUGGGGUACAUCUCAUUGGGCCGAUGGGUGCACUGGUAGAGCCUGUACCUUUAGAGAUAUCCACUCCCCUCUCUUACCUAUCACAAGAAGCAAAGUAGGGCGGUGCUCUCUGGGCCCCUCCAAAGAUUUUUAGCAGGGGGGCCCAGCUUGUUGUAGUUACACCACUGGGUGGGUCUGUGGGGGCAGGUUCUCCAGUGAACCCAAGAUACCCCAGUCCUACACUGUGCUCGGCAUUAGGGGGCGGGUAACUGGUUCACAAACCAACAGAAUCUGUAUUAUGAUUCUAUCUACAUGAAAGUCCUCUACAGUUCUAGUCGCCUGUAGCAACCAAUCAGGAGGUAGCUCCUGUUUAAACCCAAGCAUCUGAUUUGUCGCUAUGGGUUACUACAGCUGUUCCAACUUUGCCCUUGUUAUUAUAUUAACCCCGUAAGGCUAUAACUGCACACAUCAAAUUGUAAUUGCAAUGAGAAAAGCUGAUUUUUUUACCCAUAAACAUAGAGGUCACACUCUAGAGCAGGGGCUCCUAAUCCUCAGGGCCAGCCGUAAAGGGGGCCCCAAUUGGUCAAAGGCUAAUGAGGGUCUUGGAUAUCCCUGUAACUAUAGUGAAGUGACCCCAGAACUCUGCUUUAGGGGUACCAUAGCUUCUAACUGUGCUUCCUACUACCAUGAAUGGGCCAGUAGCCGUAAUGGCCCCGCCCAGUAUACAGUAGCCCUGACAGUCUCCCCUUCAACACAUAUAAAGUUAUUAUUUUCCCAUAGGGAAAGCGUUAGAGUAUAUUUCUAUACGUGUGUAGCCUGUCUGUACUGAUAUAUAUGCCCCAAGCGCUUUCAAUAAUGUCUAUCCCAAUCGCACGUCUGCUCUCACUAAAGGGGCGAGCCCAAGCUGCUUUGUGUUAUUAAUGAGCUUUAGUUCCCCUUUAAAAAAAAGUCCCAUCUCUGCUCUGCAAAAGUGUUGAAAAAUAUUUGAUAUUUUACGUUUUUCUCUUCUUUUUCUCAUUUUAAUGACAUCGGAAAUGCGUUAUUCCCCCCAGUAAUGAUUGUGGUUUGCACAGUUGAACCCCCCCCCGAAUUCAGGAAAAAGGGCACCUACCGCCUACCUACUGCUGUUGCAUUACCUGCAAUCCCCACUGCCACCUCCGGGGGGGGAGAGAUUAUCCAAUCACUGUUCUAAUUGGUUGCUAGAGAUUCCCAUUGUCUCCUCCUCCUGUGAUGUAAGCUGAGAUCCUUCUGCCUGUCUCUCGGUGCUGCCUAUGGGGGCUGCUGUUAAUUUGCUAAUGUAAAGCAACUGGACAUAAUGACAUUGUACAUGACUGUAUUUUAUUUUAUUUUUUUUCCUUCCUCUCUUUUUAAAAAAGUUUGUACAAUGUGUGUCAAACUUUCUCUUCUUCCUCGGGGGAAGAUAAUCUGCACUGAUAUUACUUGGCCUUGGCUCUUUCCGGGGUCACUUGUCGAUAGCAAAAAUGUUGCAAAAUGAAGCUGUGAUUAUGAAUAAAUGAGUAUUUUACAGAAAA